This 280-nucleotide long non-coding RNA is filed under the name Rhinopithecus bieti (black snub-nosed monkey). RNAcentral's name for it is "lncRNA (ENSRBIG00000045825.1)". Lineage: Eukaryota; Metazoa; Chordata; Mammalia; Primates; Cercopithecidae. The record is from RNAcentral.
AAAAAAGUUGCAUAGUAAAUUGGUCUCCCUCUUUCAUUUUGCAUUGCUAACACCUGUUUUGCUUCCAAAUAAACAGGGUCCUCUCCUUCUGACUUCCAUCCCAUGAAGCCUCUCAAUUCAAUGAUGCUUGUUCUACUUUCCCUGUGUUCACGCAGCACUUACUUUACAAUUUGCAGCAACUUUGGAGGCCAUGUUUUAGAAGCAUCUUGUGUUCUUGGGUCGUCAUGUGAUGAAACAUCGCUCUGGAGAACCAAUUUACCUCCUUAAGACUUUGUGGAAU